Molecule: long non-coding RNA, 989 nt
Organism: Mus musculus (house mouse)
Lineage: Eukaryota; Metazoa; Chordata; Mammalia; Rodentia; Muridae
Product: predicted gene, 52729
Exons: 4
Source: RefSeq, a predicted model, not a curated record
GAUACAUGCAAAGGGAUGUAGACCAGAGGCCACAGAGACACUGGGAACUGGGGUAUUUUGUGUGAAGAGGACCAGUAUGCAGAGAACCAAACUUGGGGUGAUUUGAGGUCAAGGACAGGAUAUAAAUGAUGCCACAAGAGUCACAGCUCUCCUAAGGCAGCAGUUCACAGACAGCGCUCACUGUGAUGAACAGGGCAGAUGGCUCUCCCAGAUGAGCCACUUCUGCUGCAGAAAGAAACGGACCAUUUGCAUAUGCUGCCUCCAGAACUUCAGAGCCAGAGCACAUCUCCCCUCCUCCAGACUCCCAUGAUGCCUUCGGUAUACCAGACGUCUCAGCCCCAAAGAAACAAAGGCUCCUGUCACAGGAGGGACAACGGUUCCACUGAGCAGGAGGUGAACACACUGCUACCUGGCCUCCAGUGUUCCUCUUGCUUCAGAAUCCAUAGGUGACCGAAGCUGACUACCAACUACCCUGUGAUGGAGAUCCUUGGGACCACCAGACUAGCUGACCUGCAAGCUCCCAGGGUUUCUCCUGCUUCUGCCUCACCUCUCAUCACAAGAACUAUGAGAUUACUGGUAUGCCCUCAUUACAAGGGAUCUGUGGACUUGAACUCAGGUCCUCACGCUUGCCCGAGGGUGCUUCAGCCACUGCACCAUCUCCCUAGUGCAAUUUCGUGUUGGUUGGCUGCAAUGGGCAUUGCCAGUAACUGUAGGUAAAUGGGUGUCUAUAAACAGUUCAGAGUACUUGAUGACUAUUUUAUUCUUAGGUUGUUCAAAUAUUUUCUGGACAAUCUUCCCAAUGUCCCAGUGGGAAUCAUAAAUCAGGUUUGUCAUUUAAAGGGAGAGGGUUAAAUGAACACCUACUGCAUGCAGGCACCUCGCCUACCACACCUCAGUCAAUCCUGACAGAAAGCACCCUACAGUGACGUUGAUAGAGUUUGCUGACCCCAAACUCAGAGCCAUGCCAUGCAUUAAGACCCCCACACAGA